AGAGACAGCAGUAGCCGCGGUAAUACGAGGGGGGCAAGCGUUGUUCGGAAUUAUUGGGCGUAAAGGGUGCGUAGGCGGUUUGACAAGUUCUAUGUGAAAUCUAUGGGCUCAACCCAUAGUCUGCAUGGAAAACUGUCGGGCUUGAGAAUGGGAGAGGUGAGUGGAAUUUCCGGUGUAGCGGUGAAAUGCGUAGAUAUCGGAAGGAACACCUGUGGCGAAAGCGACUCACUGGUCUGUAACUGACGCUGAGGAGCGAAAGCGUGGGGAGCGAACAGGAUUAGAUACCCCGGUAGUCCCUGUCUCUUAUAC
Molecule: ribosomal RNA, 309 nt
Filed under: uncultured bacterium
Lineage: Bacteria
Description: partial 16S ribosomal RNA
Rfam family: Bacterial small subunit ribosomal RNA
Source: RNAcentral